CAAUAGCGUAUAUUUAAGUUGUUGCAGUUAAAAAGCUCGUAGUUGGAUUUCAGGUGGGACGCAGCGGUCUCGCAUUGCGUUUGUACUGCUGCAGCCCUCCUUCUUGCCGGGGGCGGCCUCUCGGACUUCACUGUCUGGGGGUCAGAAUCGGCGAUGUUACUUUGAGUAAAUUAGAGUGUUCAAAGCAAGCUUACGCUCUGAAUAUAAUAGCAUGGGAUAACACGACAGGACUCUGGCCUAUCGUGUUGGUCUAUAGGACCAGAGUAAUGAUUAAGAGGGACAGUCGGGGGCAUUCGUAUUCCGUUGUCAGAGGUGAAAUUCUUGGAUUUACGGAAGACGAACAUCUGCGAAAGCAUUUGCCAAGGAUGUUUUCAUUGA
This 378-nucleotide ribosomal RNA is filed under the name uncultured eukaryote. Its description in RNAcentral is "partial 18S ribosomal RNA". It matches the Rfam family "Eukaryotic small subunit ribosomal RNA", at positions 592 to 976 of the family's 1831-position model. The record is from RNAcentral.